Molecule: ribosomal RNA, 305 nt
Filed under: uncultured bacterium
Lineage: Bacteria
Description: bacterial SSU rRNA
Rfam family: Bacterial small subunit ribosomal RNA
Source: RNAcentral
GGCUAACUCCGUGCCAGCAGCCGCGGUAAUACGGAGGGUGCGAGCGUUAUCCGGAUUUAUUGGGGUUUAAAGGGUACCGUAGGCGGAUUAAUAAGUCAGUGGUGUAAAUCCCAUCGCUUAACGAUGGAACUGCCAUUGAUACUGUUAGUCUUGAAUGAGGGUGCAGUGGUUGGGAAUGUGUAGUGUAGCGGUGAAAUGCAUAGAUAUUACACAGAACACCGAUUGCGAAGGCAGAUCACUAACCCUAAAUUGACGCUGAGGGACGAAAGCGUGGGGGAGCGAACAGGAUUAGAUACCCCUGGUAG